GGACUUGUGGUGUAGUGGUUAUCACGUCUCGUUUACACCGAGAAGGCCGCAGGUUCGAGCCCUGCCAAGUUCA
RNAcentral lists this transfer RNA (73 nucleotides) under Hortaea werneckii EXF-2000. RNAcentral's name for it is "tRNA-Val (TAC) (tRNA-Val-TAC-1-1, tRNA-Val-TAC-1-2)". It matches the Rfam family "tRNA". From Rfam's summary of the family: Transfer RNA (tRNA) molecules are approximately 80 nucleotides in length. The record is from RNAcentral. Lineage: Eukaryota; Fungi; Ascomycota; Dothideomycetes; Mycosphaerellales; Teratosphaeriaceae.